This 407-nucleotide ribosomal RNA is filed under the name uncultured eukaryote. Its description in RNAcentral is "partial 23S ribosomal RNA". It matches the Rfam family "Bacterial large subunit ribosomal RNA", at positions 2077 to 2483 of the family's 2925-position model. The record is from RNAcentral.
UGGACAGAAAGACCCUAUGAAGCUUUACUGUAACUUGAAAUUGAAAUUGGACUUUAUUCNCGCANCAUANGUGGGAGGCGUUGAUUAUNNUCUUGNGGGAUUAUUGGAGCCAUCNNUGAGAUACCACCCUUGUAANGNNAGAUUUCUAACUUUGAAUCAUUAUCUGGUCAAAGGACAGUUUCAGGCGGGCAGUUUGACUGGGGCGGUCGCCUCCUAAACGGUAACGGAGGCGUACAAAGGUUUCCUCUGAACGGUUAGAAAUCNUAUCUANAGUGUAAAGGCAUAAGGAAGCUUGACUGUGAGACCUACAAGUCGAGCAGGGACGAAAGUCGGUCUUANUGAUCUGACGGUACUGANUGNANNNGCCGUCACUCAACGGAUAAAAGUUACUCUAGGGAUAACAGGCU